RNAcentral lists this ribosomal RNA (253 nucleotides) under uncultured bacterium. RNAcentral describes it as "partial 16S ribosomal RNA". It matches the Rfam family "Bacterial small subunit ribosomal RNA", at positions 524 to 776 of the family's 1533-position model. The record is from RNAcentral.
UACAGAGGGUGCAAACGUUGUUCGGAAUUACUGGGCGUAAAGCGCGUGUAGGCGGCUUGGCAAGUCGGGUGUGAAAGCCCCGGGCUCAACCUGGGAAGUGCACUCGAAACUGCUUGGCUUGAGUACUGGAGAGGGAAGCGGAAUUCUCGGUGUAGAGGUGAAAUUCGUAGAUAUCGAGAGGAACACCGGUGGCGAAGGCGGCUUCCUGGACAGUUACUGACGCUGAGGCGCGAAAGCCAGGGGAGCAAACGGG